RNAcentral lists this ribosomal RNA (500 nucleotides) under uncultured bacterium. RNAcentral's name for it is "partial 16S ribosomal RNA". It matches the Rfam family "Bacterial small subunit ribosomal RNA", at positions 30 to 523 of the family's 1533-position model. The record is from RNAcentral.
AUUGAACGCUGGCGGAAUGCUUUACACAUGCAAGUCGAACGGCAGCACGGACUUCGGUCUGGUGGCGAGUGGCGAACGGGUGAGUAAUGUAUCGGAACGUGCCCAGUCGUGGGGGAUAACGCAGUGAAAAUUACGCUAAUACCGCAUACGAUCUAUGGACGAAAGCGGGGGAUCGCAAGACCUCGCGCGAUUGGAGCGGCCGAUAUCAGAGUAGGUAGUUGGUGGGGUAAAGGCCCACCAAGCCAACGAUCUGUAGCUGGUCUGAGAGGACGACCAGCCACACUGGAACUGCGACACGGUCCAGACUCCUACGGGAGGCAGCAGUGGGGAAUUUUGGACAAUGGGCGAAAGCCUGAUCCAGCCAUUCCGCGUGCAGGAUGAAGGCCCUCGGGUUGUAAACUGCCUUUGUACAGAACGAAAAGGUUUCUACUAAUACUAGGAGCUCAUGACGGUACUGUAAGAAUAAGCACCGGCUAACUACGGGCCAGCCGCCGCCGUAA